UCCUUCCCGAUAGAGCCUGCGUCUUCAGA
This 29-nucleotide non-coding RNA is filed under the name Mus musculus (house mouse). Lineage: Eukaryota; Metazoa; Chordata; Mammalia; Rodentia; Muridae. The record is from RNAcentral.